This 503-nucleotide ribosomal RNA is filed under the name uncultured bacterium. RNAcentral's name for it is "partial 16S ribosomal RNA". It matches the Rfam family "Bacterial small subunit ribosomal RNA", at positions 30 to 523 of the family's 1533-position model. The record is from RNAcentral.
AUUGAACGCUGGCGGCAGGCUUAACACAUGCAAGUCGAGCGGGGUGAUGGUGCUUGCACUAUCACUUAGCGGCGGACGGGUGAGUAAUGCUUAGGAAUCUGCCUAUUAGUGGGGGACAACAUCUCGAAAGGGAUGCUAAUACCGCAUACGUCCUACGGGAGAAAGCAGGGGAUCACUUGUGACCUUGCGCUAAUAGAUGAGCCUAAGUCGGCAUAGCUAGUUGGUGGGGUAAAGGGCUACCAAGGCGACGAUCUGUAGCGGGUCUGAGAGGAUGAUCCGCCACACUGGGACUGAGACACGGCCCAGACUCCUACGGGAGGCAGCAGUGGGGAAUAUUGGACAAUGGGGGGAACCCUGAUCCAGCCAUGCCGCAUGUGUGAAGAAGGCCUUAUGGUUGUAAAGCACUUUAAGCGAGGAGGAGGCUCUUUUGGUUAAUACCCAAGAUGAGUGGACGUUACUCGCAGAAUAAGCACCGGCUAACUCUGUGCCAGCCGCCGCGGUAA